Molecule: transfer RNA, 83 nt
Filed under: Schistocephalus solidus
Lineage: Eukaryota; Metazoa; Platyhelminthes; Cestoda; Diphyllobothriidea; Diphyllobothriidae
Rfam family: tRNA
About the family: Transfer RNA (tRNA) molecules are approximately 80 nucleotides in length. Their secondary structure includes four short double-helical elements and three loops (D, anti-codon, and T loops). Further hydrogen bonds mediate the characteristic L-shaped molecular structure. tRNAs have two regions of fundamental functional importance: the anti-codon, which is responsible for specific mRNA codon recognition, and the 3' end, to which the tRNAs corresponding amino acid is attached (by aminoacyl-tRNA synthetases). tRNAs cope with the degeneracy of the genetic code in two manners: having more than one tRNA (with a specific anti-codon) for a particular amino acid; and 'wobble' base-pairing, i.e. permitting non-standard base-pairing at the 3rd anti-codon position.
Source: Rfam by way of RNAcentral
AGCCACGUAGCUCAGUUGAAUAGAGCGUUGGCUGUACUAAAGCCUUUCUCUUGGUGGCGUGGGAUUGAAUCCCACCGAGGCCG